RNAcentral lists this ribosomal RNA (429 nucleotides) under Gemmatimonadota bacterium. RNAcentral's name for it is "Gemmatimonadetes bacterium partial 16S ribosomal RNA". It matches the Rfam family "Bacterial small subunit ribosomal RNA", at positions 355 to 776 of the family's 1533-position model. The record is from RNAcentral. Lineage: Bacteria; Pseudomonadati; Gemmatimonadota.
UAGGGAAUCUUCGGCAAUGGACGAAAGUCUGACCGAGCAACGCCGCGUGAGUGAAGAAGGUUUUCGGAUCGUAAAACUCUGUUGUUAGAGAAGAACAAGGACGUUAGUAACUGAACGUCCCCUGACGGUAUCUAACCAGAAAGCCACGGCUAACUACGUGCCAGCAGCCGCGGUAAUACGUAGGUGGCAAGCGUUGUCCGGAUUUAUUGGGCGUAAAGCGAGCGCAGGCGGUUUCUUAAGUCUGAUGUGAAAGCCCCCGGCUCAACCGGGGAGGGUCAUUGGAAACUGGGAGACUUGAGUGCAGAAGAGGAGAGUGGAAUUCCAUGUGUAGCGGUGAAAUGCGUAGAUAUAUGGAGGAACGCCAGUGGCGAAGGCGGCUCUCUGGUCUGUAACUGACGCUGAGGCGCGAAAGCGUGGGGAGCAAACAGG